GUGGUCCUACGGGAGGCAGCAGUAGGGAAUUUUCGUCAAUGGGCGCAAGCCUGAACGAGCAAUGCCGCGUGAACGAGGAAGGUCUUCGGAUCGUAAAGUUCUGUUGAAGGGGAAAAAGAGCGGAGAGAGGAAAUGGUCUCCGAUUGAUAUUACCCUUCGAGGAAGUCACGGCUAACUACGUGCCAGCAGCCGCGGUAAUGCGUAGGUGGCGAGCGUUAUCCGGAAUGAUUGGGCGUAACGGGUGCGUAGGCGGCCUGCUAAGUCUGGAGUGAAAGGAACCGGAUCAACCGGUACAGGCUCUGGAA
RNAcentral lists this ribosomal RNA (305 nucleotides) under uncultured bacterium. Its description in RNAcentral is "bacterial SSU rRNA". It matches the Rfam family "Bacterial small subunit ribosomal RNA", at positions 333 to 631 of the family's 1533-position model. The record is from RNAcentral.